RNAcentral lists this ribosomal RNA (532 nucleotides) under Hanseniaspora meyeri. RNAcentral describes it as "eukaryotic LSU rRNA". It matches the Rfam family "Eukaryotic large subunit ribosomal RNA", at positions 80 to 611 of the family's 3401-position model. Lineage: Eukaryota; Fungi; Ascomycota; Saccharomycetes; Saccharomycodales; Saccharomycodaceae. The record is from RNAcentral.
UUAGUAACGGCGAGUGAAGCGGUAAAAGCUCAAAUUUGAAAUCUGGUACUUUCAGUGCCCGAGUUGUAAUUUGUAGAAUUUGUCUUUGAUUAGGUCCUUGUCUAUGUUCCUUGGAACAGGACGUCAUAGAGGGUGAGAAUCCCGUUUGGCGAGGAUACCUUUUCUCUGUAAGACUUUUUCGAAGAGUCGAGUUGUUUGGGAAUGCAGCUCAAAGUGGGUGGUAAAUUCCAUCUAAAGCUAAAUAUUGGCGAGAGACCGAUAGCGAACAAGUACAGUGAUGGAAAGAUGAAAAGAACUUUGAAAAGAGAGUGAAAAAGUACGUGAANAUUGUUGAAAGGGGAAGGGCAUUUGAUCAGACAUGGUGUUUUUUUAAUGUGCAAGUCUCUCGUGGACAUGUGCCUCUGGAAAUUAACACUGGGCCAACAUCAGUUCUGGCGGCAGGAUAAAUCAUUAAGAAUGUAGCUACCUCGGUAGUGUUAUAGCUUUUUGGAAUACUGCCAGCUGGGAUUGAGGACAUGCGCUUCGGUCAAGG